AGGGACAAAUAAAGAAGUGAUUAAUUGUUGGUGUUAAUUAGUAUCUUGGAAAAUAGUAAAUUAUAAUAGUCUCUUUUUGAAUGCAGCAUGGUUCCAAUAAAAUUAUUUUAAAAUACAUAAAGAUAACUAGGAGUUUUACUUUAUAGUUAAUAAUUUUGUGUUUGGAUUGACGGUGAAUUUGACAUAAUUAUAGUGAGUAAUUUAGUAAAAACUACACUUUGUAACUUCAACAAAAUCAUGGUGCCACCGCAAUUUCACUAAAGUCACCAUGAUUCCGAACAUCUGAUCACCAAUUAUUACUUUUACAACUCAUACAAAAACAUGAGGAGAAAGGGAAAGGAGGGUCACUUUUGGCACAUAAUUUUUGAAUGGUUGUUUUCAUAUAAACAACUUGAACACAGAAAAAGAUGAUGCCAAAUAUAUAAUUAAGAGAUGGAGCAUGCAUUUUUUGUUUUAUAUGUUGAAGAUAACUCUUUUCUAGAAGUCACCAUAAGAGUUCAAACUUUGAAGAUAGAUUCUGACACCAACACCAUGUGUGUGUGAGAGAGAGAAAGAGAGGCAGACAAAGAUAGGCACAAACUCACACACACUCACAAACCUCUGUAGAGACAGAGAAGUGAAGAAAACAGAGGUUCCAUUGAUGAGCAAAAUAGAAGACUCUCCCAUCAACUCCAUCAAAGACUUGGGAUAAGAAGGAACAAAAACCUUUGCAUCACUUUGGAGUAUGAACUUGUUCACAUCUGCAUCUGUUGAAACAAUGGUAGGGCUUCCAAAUAUGUGUGACUUGAAAACCUUACCAUACCUACAAGUUGAAACAACACAAAUACUUGUCAAAAACAACAAACACAACUUUUCUUAGUCACAUCACACUUUGAAAUUUUGUUUGAAUUGACUUAUUUCAACUUAUCUAUUGAUGAAGCACUUGUGAGACCGUUUGCAAGAGCUUACGAUAUGUUUAA
Non-coding RNA from Cicer arietinum (chickpea), 959 nucleotides. Lineage: Eukaryota; Viridiplantae; Streptophyta; Magnoliopsida; Fabales; Fabaceae. The record is from RefSeq and is a predicted model, not a curated record.